UACGGAGGGGACUAGCGUUGUUCGGAUUUACUGGGCGUAAAGCGCACGUAGGCGGAUUGUUAAGUCGGGGGUGAAAUCCUGGAGCUCAACUUCAGAAUUGCCUUCGAUACUGGCUUUCUAGAGGCUGGAAGAGGUUAGUGGAAUUCCCAGUGUAGAGGUGAAAUUCGUAGAUAUUGGGAAGAACACCAGUGGCGAAGGCGGCUAACUGGUCCAGAUCUGACGCUGAGGUGCGAAAGCGUGGGGAGCAAACAGG
RNAcentral lists this ribosomal RNA (253 nucleotides) under uncultured bacterium. RNAcentral describes it as "partial 16S ribosomal RNA". It matches the Rfam family "Bacterial small subunit ribosomal RNA", at positions 524 to 776 of the family's 1533-position model. The record is from RNAcentral.